GACGAACGCUGGCGGCGUGCCUAACACAUGCAAGUCGAACGAGAUCCAUGGGAGCUUGCUCCCGGAAGAUCUAGUGGCGAACGGGUGAGUAACACGUGAGAAACCUGCCCUGGAGUGGGGAAUAACUCGGGGGAAACUCGAGCUAAUACCGCAUACCCUCGGAUGGUCGCAUGGCCGACUGAGGAAAGAUUUAUCGCUCUAGGAGGGUCUCGCGGCCUAUCAGCUAGUUGGUGGGGUAACGGCCUACCAAGGCAACGACGGGUAGCUGGUUUGAGAGAACGAUCAGCCACACUGGGACUGAGACACGGCCCAGACUCCUACGGGAGGCAGCAGUGGGGAAUCUUGCGCAAUGGGCGAAAGCCUGACGCAGCAACGCCGCGUGCGGGAUGACGGCCUUCGUGGUUGUAAACCGCUUUCAGCAGGGACGAAAA
RNAcentral lists this ribosomal RNA (431 nucleotides) under uncultured bacterium. RNAcentral's name for it is "bacterial SSU rRNA". It matches the Rfam family "Bacterial small subunit ribosomal RNA", at positions 28 to 451 of the family's 1533-position model. The record is from RNAcentral.